AAAUUGAAGAGUUUGAUCAUGGCUCAGAUUGAACGCUGGCGGCAGGCCUAACACAUGCAAGUCGAACGGUAACAGGAAGCAGCUUGCUGCUUCGCUGACGAGUGGCGGACGGGUGAGUAAUGUCUGGGAAACUGCCUGAUGGAGGGGGAUAACUACUGGAAACGGUGGCUAAUACCGCAUAACGUCGCAAGACCAAAGAGGGGGACCUUCGGGCCUCUUGCCAUCAGAUGUGCCCAGAUGGGAUUAGCUUGUUGGUGAGGUAACGGCUCACCAAGGCGACGAUCCCUAGCUGGUCUGAGAGGAUGACCAGCCACACUGGAACUGAGACACGGUCCAGACUCCUACGGGAGGCAGCAGUGGGGAAUAUUGCACAAUGGGCGCAAGCCUGAUGCAGCCAUGCCGCGU
RNAcentral lists this ribosomal RNA (405 nucleotides) under Salmonella enterica. RNAcentral's name for it is "bacterial SSU rRNA". It matches the Rfam family "Bacterial small subunit ribosomal RNA", at positions 1 to 402 of the family's 1533-position model. RNAcentral also lists the same sequence under 1 other name. The record is from RNAcentral. Lineage: Bacteria; Pseudomonadati; Pseudomonadota; Gammaproteobacteria; Enterobacterales; Enterobacteriaceae.